Molecule: long non-coding RNA, 5365 nt
Filed under: Brassica napus (rape)
Lineage: Eukaryota; Viridiplantae; Streptophyta; Magnoliopsida; Brassicales; Brassicaceae
Description: long non-coding RNA (BNAP_LNC018781)
Source: RNAcentral
AACCACUAUCAGAGCAACAAUGGAGUCGUCUGCUGAUUUGAACACCACCGAUGGCUGCCAAAACAUCUUGAUGCUGCGUCACGGUGAUCGCAUUGACAAGAUCAACCCACUCUGGCCCGAUACAGCUUCGAGACCUUGGGACCCUCCUCUCGUUCAGGACGGUUUGGUUCGUGCGUUUCAAACUGGUCAGCGGAUCCGGUCUCAGAUCCAGUUUCCGAUCCACAGGGUCUUCGUCUCUCCCUUCAUCCGUUGCGUUCAGACUGCUUCAGAACUUAUCGCCGCUCUCUCUGCCGUUGACUUAAACCCUAACGCUACGUCGUCUAAAGACGUUCUUUCCAUCGAUAAAUCUAAGCUCAAGGUCAAGAUUUUAAUCAUUUCCAGUCUAUAAGUCUUGAACUAUGACUGUCUUCAGGGAAUGUCAUGAACAUAGACAACGGUCUGUGGUCCCCAGAUUUUAGGAAUAAUUUACAUAGACAUAAUUUUUUAUACUAAAUUUCAUAUAGCCCUCAAAAUCUCAGGACCGGUCUUAAUAACGGUUGUGAUGUAUGUAAUGGUAUAAACUAGUUAAGGUGGUUGGUUCUUGUCUGCUUCAGGUGUCUAUCGAGUUUGGUUUGAGUGAGAUGCUGAACAGUAUGGCUAUUAGGCCUAAGGUUGCUCCAAAAGAUGGAAAAUUCGAUUUUAAGAUUUCAGAUCUUGAAGCUAUGUUUCCUGAGGGAAUGGUGGAUCAUGACGUAGACCCUGUUUAUAAAGAGGUAAUCAAUCUCUCUAGACCUAGUCUUUGUUCUGUUUCUGUAUGUUGUUUUCUUGGAAGCAAUUUGAGUUAUAAACUUGAUGAUCUUCUUCUGAGUGUGUCAUGAUGGUUUUGUUCAGAUGCCACAAUGGGAAGAGACUGUGGAAGAAUGCACAGAACGGUUUCUUAGUUUGGUGAAGACUCUUGCUGAUAAGUACCCUUCAGAGAACUUGCUCUUAGUCACUCACGGUAAGCAAGACAUUCUUGGUUAUGUGGAUCUUGUACACUCACACUAUUGACUUGAUUAGUAAAAAAAUUCUGCUUCUCUAGAAAGAAAAUCUUUUUCUUUUCUUUCUUUUUUCUCUCAAGGUUUCAGUAUUCAGCAGCAAAAAAUCUUUGAUAAUCUCUUUCGUUAAUCGAAUGUUCAAAUGUGUGACUUGUAAGAACCUCUAUGUGCAGGGGAAGGAGUAAGGACUACAUUUGCAACCUAUAAAGACGUAGCUGUGUACGAGGUAGAGUAUUGUGCUUGUGCUGAACUGAGAAGACAGGUCUUGAGUCAAGAAGAGUCUACUAAAGCUGGAGACUUUGAAGUGAUCGGUCAAGCUGGAAUCAAGUACCAUUGCUUGAAAACCACAGCAGUACCAUGUGUGAAGUGGUAUUGAGUCAUGGUCAAGGUAGAGUAUUGUGCUUGUGCUGUACUAUUUGGUUGUAUUUGAGUUGCUUUUGUAUGAAUUAUGAAAUAAAUUUUUAAAGUUUGAUUCAGUCAAAUAAGAUAUUACAUUUCUUCUGCCAACAAAAGAACAUUAACAGAGAAACAAGGAUUGUCAUUACAUAUCAAAGUAGUUAAGAGUGUUGCUUGUGAAGCACAUCUAAAAACAAAGCUAGUUAGAGUCUGCGUUAAAUUAGACCUAAACACACACAUGCAGGGGGAAGCAAUCUAAUAGAAACAAACAACAACAACAACAACAAUCUAAGGACUCUGAUUUGGAUCGUCAACUUGAUCAAACAUGUCAGCCGGGAAAUCAUCUAAGAAAACAUCAGCUUCUUCUUCAUCAUCAUCCUUUGAAACAUGUCUACAUCUUCUCUCUGCAGGAGGCAGCUCAAAAAACGGCUGAGGGAGAGCGAACAACGGCUCAGAACAACCAGCCGGUCCGAGGAUAUCGUAGUAAUAAGGAUUGUCGAGUCUAGCCAAAAGCUCUCUGCUUUCUGGAUAGAAAGGGAUGGUCGCUUGCUGAUUAGCAAUAUGCGGCUCAGACAUGAGAGGAUCAUCAGUCCAAAAAGCGAAUGGCUGAUGUUCUAACUUGAUACCCAAUUCAGGCAACCUCAAAGCUUCAUCAACUUGGUCUGAUGAUGAGUAAGGAAGAAUCUUGGAAGAUGAAGAAGAAGCUGUAGUCACCUCUUCCUCAACCAAACCAAAACUCUGAAAGUGAAACACACACAAACUGAAAAAUCCUUUAUAAUAAUAAUUAAAAAUGUAUAUAUUUUAUCAUUUAGAAACAUAAUAUACCUGAGGGGGAUAGAAGUAUUGGAUUGGUUUAACGAAGUCAACAUUUUAAAAUAUAUUAAUAAAAAUAAUACAUUUAACGUUUUUUAUAUGGGGUUUUCGCAAAUAAGACUCAAAACUUGAAUUUAAACACAAAACUAACUCAUGCUUUUUUUUUAACUUUGAUUUGCCUCUUUCAUCCCAAAAGCUCAGAUUAUUCACGAAAAUGCCAUCACUUUUUCACUCUGGCUGAUAAGUACCCUUCAGAGAACUUGCUCUUAGUCACUCACGGUAAGCAAGGCAUUCUUGGUUCUGUUAUUGUACUGUACACACACACCUUUUGACUUUAUUAGUUUUAAAUCUCUGCUUUGCUUCUCUUUUUGUUACUAAGAUUUCAGUGUCCAUGUAGCAAAGCUGUUCUGUGGUUGCACUAGAGCAAAAAGUCUAUGAUAAUUAAUCGGUUUAUGUUCAAUCUCUCUGUGCAGGGGAAGGAGUAAGGACUACAUUUGCAACCUAUAAAAAAGUAGAUACGUACGACGUAGAGUACUGUGCGUGUGCUGAACUGAGAAGAAAGGUCUCGAGUCAAGACGGGUCUACUAAAGCUGGAGGCUUUGAGGUGAUGACAAGUCUUGGUGAAGUUGGAAUCAAGUACCAUUCCUUGACCACCACAGCAGACAAAUGAUCAUGUUCCCAACUCUCGAGUUGUGUCAGUGUCUCCAGAAGAUCAUCACGACAUUGGAAAACCGAAAUUAAACUAGAUACUGGAUAUUAAGAACGAGUGAUUCUAAACUCAAAUAAAAAGAUUUAUCGUCUGUCAUUUACAAAUUGCUUUGCGCUAGCCAAGACUUUGUUUUUAAUUUAUCUCUCGAAGAAUAAUGACGUUUUUUGUCAUCUAUCUCAAUAUAUUAAACCUGAUCAGUAAUAUGAUUGUCAUGAAGGAAGGACCAUAACUACAAGGUAGUCAUGAUUUAUAAAGAAAAAUAAGUAAUUUCGUGCUCGUGAUCCUUUUGCAAAAUAAUCUGCUCAGAAAUUUAUGUUACGUGAGAUUAAACAAAGACUGAAACAUCAAAAAUGAUCUUGUAUAAACUCCUACGUUACUUCUUGAUCUUGUAUGGCUGUUUCGAUAUAUUGUUACACUCUAACACUCUUUGAUGGAAUUUUCGGGGGAAGGAGUGGGAACAACAUUAUCCACGUUCUAUGAAGAUACAACUGUGUACGAAGUAGACUACUGUACUUAUGUUGAACUGAGAAGAGAGGUCUCAAGUACAAAAGCAAUUGAGUUAUGGUCAAGCUGGAAUCAGGUUUAGUCAUGAUCAUGUCAUAAGCCGAACACCGGUUUGGUCAGCUGUCUUCAGUUCUUCAUAUGUUUCUGUACUAUUUGGUUUGUAUUUGAGUUGCUUUUGUAUGAAUUAUAUAUGAAAUAUGUUUUCAAAGUUUGAUUCAAUCAAAUAAGAUUUUAUAUUUCUGCCAACAAAAGAACAUUAAUAGAGAACAAGGAUUAUCAUUACAUAACAAUGUAUGUAAUUAAGAGUGUUGCUUGUGAAGCACAUCUGAAAACAAAGCUAGUUAGAGUCUGCGUCAAUUAGACCUAAACACACACAUGCAGUGGGAAAUAAUAGAAACAACAACAGUCUUAAGAACUUCGAACUGAAUCAUCAACUUGAUCAAACAUGUCAGCCGGGAAAUCUUCAUCCUUUGAAACAUGUCUGCAUCUAAGUUCCGAUGAAUACCGACAAUUGCCCUAUAUAACCAUUCGUCGGUAUUUCGUAGGAAUAUUCAGACCACUUUCCGACAAAGCAGCGGUCAUCGGAAAUUUGCGAUGCAGUCCGACGAAAUAGCGAGGGAAAUAUAUAACCAUUAUGCGACCAUUUUAAAUGGUUUGAAUUGUUAACCAUCAUGGGAAAAUCGUCGGAAGUUCCGACUCAUUUUCGACGAAACUUUUGACUGUUGCUAAUAUUAAAGAAAAAAAAAAAAUUUCGACGACCGUUCCUUAAAUUUCCGACGAAAUUCCAACGAAAUAUAUGACUGUUUUACAGCCGUUUUAUGCUUUGAUACGUCUGAUGGAAUUCCAACGAAAAUUAAUUUAUUCCGUCAAAAUAUCAUCAAGAAUCUGUCGGUAACUUUCUUUUAUAAAUACGAGCUCCUCUCAUUCACUUCAUUCACUCUUCAUUCUCUCCUCACUCUCUUCACUCACUACAAAUCCAUAAAAAAUCAUGUCUUCUGGAAAUUAUUUUCGUUCGUGGAUGGAUUAACCUCAUUUGGAUCCAAACACCAAUUUGCUUACAGAAAAAUACGUAGAAGGUUUUGGCGAAUUCAUGAAGCGUUUUCAACAACAACCGGAAGCAAAUCUCGGUAUAAUAAGAUGUCUCUCAUCUUCCUGCAAUAAUAGUAGGGUUUUAAAAGAAUGAGAUAUUUGAACUCAUUUAUAUAUGAAAGGGUUUAUACGAAAUUAGAAGAUUUGGUAUCUUCACAGGAAAACGGUUAUGAAUAUGGUAAUAUUGCCUCGACAUGUUAAUAGGUUAGAAGAACCAAAUACAUAUGUAGAUUAUGGCGUAGAUACUGAGCAUAUGGUAAAUGAUCAUUAUAGAAGGGAAGAACUAAAUGCAGAAUCUGAAUGUAGAAAAACAAUUUUUGUAUAAAUGUUGUAAAGAUGGUCAUUCAACUUUAUCAUCUUCAACAAGAUUAAUAGAUACUAAGACAGAUUAUAAUUUGACUGAAGUAAUCACGGCCAGCUGCUAACGUUUUGUAAUUUAAAAAUCUAAUUCUAUGAUUUAAAUAUAUAUUAAAAAUAUUAAUAAUAUUUGAUGAAACACAUGUUUUAAUUCUUUACGUCAUGUGUACUAUAUAUACUUCCAACGUGCACGCCACCAACCACUAUCAGAGCAACAAUGGAGUCGUCUGCUGAUUUGAACACCACCGAUGGCUGCCAAAACAUCUUGAUGCUGCGUCACGGUGAUCGCAUUGACAAGAUCAACCCACUCUGGCCCGAUACAGCUUCGAGACCUUGGGACCCUCCUCUCGUUCAGGACGGUUUGGUUCGUGCGUUUCAAACUGGUCAGCGGAUCCGGUCUCAGAUCCAGUUUCCGAUCCACAGGGUCUUCGUCUCUCCCUUCAUCCGUUGCGUUCAGACUGCUUCAGAACUUAUCGCCGCU